This 1450-nucleotide long non-coding RNA is filed under the name Aquilegia coerulea. Its description in RNAcentral is "long non-coding RNA (ACOE_LNC002198)". The record is from RNAcentral. Lineage: Eukaryota; Viridiplantae; Streptophyta; Magnoliopsida; Ranunculales; Ranunculaceae.
ACACAUAAAAUUUUUUGCAAAAUAAAUAAGAUAUAUAAGUGAUAUUAUUUACGCCAGUAAGAUGCGGUAGUUAAAUUAAGAAAUGUAUCCAAGACUACAUAAAAUUGAAAUGUAAACAAAGAUUACAUGAACCAAACACGCUGAAGAACAUUGAGUUUUUUUUUGCUGAAAGAAAAUUUUCAAAUGACCAGCUGCCCAUCUCUUCUGUUAAAUAUUAAUGAUAUACCCUGCGGACCCCGCGCAGCGUAAAAAUAGAUCUGUUGUGCCAAAAAUAAUUCACAAACACCUUACAUGAAUUUUUUGUCCUGUAAAAACGUUAUUGUUUGCAGACCCAUAGUCCAAACACAUUUGCAUUUCUGGAUAACCUUUGUGGGGAAACUCAUCUGUAAAAAAUAAAAGAACAAAAACUUUUUAUUGAGUGUAUGGAACAGAUGAAAGCGUGGUGUAUGCUUACGUACUCCUUCGUUAGAAAUUGAUGUCGGGUUAGCCCCUCCACCAUUAUCGCAGCAUAUCUAUCUUCUGGCUAUAUAGAAAAUUAGCUACAGAAAAAUACCAAAGACUUUUUAUUCAAUCUUUCAGUUUUUGAAUUGAAAUUAAAAAUAACUUCAACUUAAUCCGAAUAAAUAGAAAAACAAAAAGAAUAUUGGACAACUUAACUUAAUUCGAAUAAAUAGAAAAAGGAAAAGAAUAUUGGACAACUUAAUUAUUUUUAGGAUGAUAAAGUCGGCCAAGAGAGAUUAUUCUAAUUUUUCUAUAAUAUUGUGUAGAAGAGAUGACUGGAUGCUUUGCAUUGAAGCAAUGUUAUAUCACACGCAUCUUUUCAGUCAAUGAUCGUGAAAACCCUUGAGAUAACUAUAAACUCACCAUUUUGCAAUCUCUGGUUUUAUGCUAAUUACUUCAGAAAAUACAACAACUGCUCCUUCCAGAUAAGUUUAACCAAACCUGUAAAGGAAGAUGGAUGGUAAAAAAAAAACUAUGAACAUGUGUAGUCUAGAAUGUAUUCAUAUGGCUUAUUGUCAAUUAUACACUACCAUAUAGUGUUUUGAGGGUUUACUAUAGUAAUUUAGACUGGCAGGAGUUAAGUCUAAUCAAAUUAGACGAAGAUGUGUAAAUGAAUUCAUCAAUAGCAUAAUUGAAAAUUGAAAUUAAAUUAAACAUAUAAAUACCUAAAAUUUAAUCUUCAAUUAAAAAUCUUCUUGGGUUAAAAGAGAGAGAAAAUAGAUGUUGAUUGAUGAUAGGGAGGGAUUUGUUGCCAACGAUCAAUUUAUUUAUGGCUUUUAUGAUGUUAGUGUUGAGGAAGAGGACUUGGAGAGGCGUAGAGGUAAGGGAGAGUUGUGAGUGAGAAAAACCUAAGAUUUUGUUAUGAUAUGUUUAAUCCAAACCAUUAAAAUCAACCUCUUAAAAAUACAAUCCCAAUAAAAACUUUGUGCAAAUCUUGACCAUCCUUUGU